AUUGUUAUAUCAGGGGCGUAGCUACCCGGAGGCACGACAGCACGUGCAUCCACGUCGUUUUCACAAAUAAAAAAAAUUAAAAAAUUAAAAAAAAGCAGAAGAGAGAGAGAUGAGUUGGUCAAUCGGAAUCGGAGACUGUUGGUGUCUUUCCGUCUAUCCCGGAUAUUAGUUUGACAACCUAGUUACAAGUGUUGAUGAAGCUGUUCAGUCAGAAAACUUGAAGAUCGUAGCUCCG
RNAcentral lists this long non-coding RNA (235 nucleotides) under Mytilus galloprovincialis (Mediterranean mussel). Lineage: Eukaryota; Metazoa; Mollusca; Bivalvia; Mytilida; Mytilidae. The record is from RNAcentral.